This 670-nucleotide ribosomal RNA is filed under the name Micromonospora sp. 493. RNAcentral describes it as "bacterial SSU rRNA". It matches the Rfam family "Bacterial small subunit ribosomal RNA", at positions 65 to 753 of the family's 1533-position model. The record is from RNAcentral. Lineage: Bacteria; Bacillati; Actinomycetota; Actinomycetes; Micromonosporales; Micromonosporaceae.
AGCGGAGUGGCCCUUCGGGGUACUCGAGCGGCGAACGGGUGAGUAACACGUGAGCAACCUGCCCCAAGCUUUGGGAUAACCCUCGGAAACGGGGGCUAAUACCGAAUAUUACUUCUGGCCGCAUGGCUGGUGGUGGAAAGUUUUUCGGCUUGGGAUGGGCUCGCGGCCUAUCAGCUUGUUGGUGGGGUGAUGGCCUACCAAGGCGACGACGGGUAGCCGGCCUGAGAGGGCGACCGGCCACACUGGGACUGAGACACGGCCCAGACUCCUACGGGAGGCAGCAGUGGGGAAUAUUGCACAAUGGGCGGAAGCCUGAUGCAGCGACGCCGCGUGAGGGAUGACGGCCUUCGGGUUGUAAACCUCUUUCAGCAGGGACGAAGCGAGAGUGACGGUACCUGCAGAAGAAGCACCGGCCAACUACGUGCCAGCAGCCGCGGUAAGACGUAGGGUGCGAGCGUUGUCCGGAUUUAUUGGGCGUAAAGAGCUCGUAGGCGGCUUGUCGCGUCGACCGUGAAAACUUGGGGCUCAACCCCAAGCCUGCGGUCGAUACGGGCAGGCUAGAGUUCGGUAGGGGAGACUGGAAUUCCUGGUGUAGCGGUGAAAUGCGCAGAUAUCAGGAGGAACACCGGUGGCGAAGGCGGGUCUCUGGGCCGAUACUGACGCUGAGGAG